AGCUCCAAUAGCGUAUAUUAAAGUUGUUGCAGUUAAAAAGCUCGUAGUUGGAUUUCUGGUUUGAUGCGCUUGGCCCGCCAUGUCUACAUGUGUGAGUGCCGACGCGCGUCUACCAUCCUUCUAGAGAACGUUUCUACCCUUCAUUGGGCCGGACUCGCAAUCUAGAUCUUUUACUUUGAAAAAAUUAGAGUGUUCAAAGCAGGCUUGUGCUGUGAAUACAUUAGCAUGGAAUAAUAAUUUAGGACUUUAGCCCUAUUUUGUUGGUUUCUAGGACUGAAGUAAUGAUUGAUAGGGAUAGUUGGGGGUGCUAGUAUUCAGCGGCCAGAGGUGAAAUUCUUGGAUUCGCUGAAGACUAACUUAUGCGAAAGCAUUCACCAAGGAUGUCUUCUUUA
RNAcentral lists this ribosomal RNA (392 nucleotides) under Thaumatomastix sp. Its description in RNAcentral is "partial small subunit ribosomal RNA". It matches the Rfam family "Eukaryotic small subunit ribosomal RNA", at positions 587 to 975 of the family's 1831-position model. The record is from RNAcentral. Lineage: Eukaryota; Cercozoa; Imbricatea; Thaumatomonadida; Thaumatomastigidae.